Molecule: ribosomal RNA, 733 nt
Filed under: Nasutitermes major
Lineage: Eukaryota; Metazoa; Arthropoda; Insecta; Blattodea; Termitidae
Description: partial large subunit ribosomal RNA
Rfam family: Archaeal large subunit ribosomal RNA (bases 292-502)
Source: RNAcentral
UUAAUUCAUACAUCUUAUUUAAUUUCUGUUGUUGAUUUAUUUAUUUUUAUUUGAUGUUAAGAUUGAGGGGGAUUAGCUCCUUGUUUUGCUUUUAUAAUUGGUUGUGAUUUAAUUUAGUUUUGUGGAUUUUAUGGUGAUUUUCUGUUUGAUUAUGUUAAAAUUUUAUUUGUUCUUUUUUUAAUUUUUUUGUUAUUUAAGUUAUUUAUUGAAAUGUUUUCUUUACCUUUGGUUUGUGUAGUAAUUACUGUGCAAUUAGUAAAUUUUGUUGGUUGUUUUGUGAGAUGAUAGGUGUUAAUUGCUUUUGAGGAAUUAGGCAAAAUUUUAUGUCUGCCUGUUUAACAAAAACAUCUUUUGUUGUUAGUUUUUGAAGUAUGGCCUGCCCACUGACUGUUAGUUGAAGGGCCGCGGUAUUUUGACCGUGCAAAGGUAGCAUAAUCAUUAGUUCUUUAAUUGUGAUCUGGUAUGAAUGGCUUGACGAGACACAAGCUGUCUUAGAGGCAUUGAGUUUAUUGAAUUUGGGGUUUGAGUUAAAAUUCUUAAAUGUUUUUAUGGGACGAGAAGACCCUAUAGAGUUUGACAAUUUUCUUAUUUGUUCGUUGUUUGUUGUGUUAUAUUGAGUGGGAAAAUUGUUUUGUUGGGGUGAUGGGAGGAAUAUUAUUUAACUCCUCUUUGUUUUUGUAUAUUUAUUUGUAUUUUUUUGAUCCAUUUAUUUUGAUUAUAAGAUUAAAUUACC